CUAAGCAAGCUAGCGGAUGGAAGUGCUAGUCUAAGGAUGUAGGAGCUUAUACAGGCAAAUCCGUAUAAGAAUACUCCGAGAUCUUAAAGGCUCUUUGAAGUCUUCGGAUGGAUAGGAGAAUUGCUGAUGCCGUCGAGCCAAGAAAAGUUUCUAAGUUUAGCUAAUGUUGCCCGUACCGUAAACCGACACAGGUGGGUGGGAUGAGUAUUCUAAGGCGCGUGGAAGAACUCUCUUUAAGGAACUCUGCAAAAUAGCACCGUAUCUUCGGUAUAAGGUGUGGUUCGCUUUGUAUUAGAAUUUACUUCGAAAGCAAAGAAACUUACAACAAAGAGUCCCUCCCGACUGUUUACCAAAAACACAGCACUCUGCUAACUCGUAAGAGGAUGUAUAGGGUGUGACGCCUGCCCGGUGCUCGAAGGUUAAUUGAUGGGGUUAGCAUUAGCGAAGCUCUUGAUCGAAGCCCGAGUAAACGGCGGCCGUAACUAUAACGGUCCUAAGGUAGCGAAAUUCCUUGUCGGUUAAAUACCGACCUGCAUGAAUGGCGUAACGAGAUGGGAGCUGUCUCAAAGAGGGAUCCAGUGAAAUUGUAGUGGAGGUGAAAAUUCCUCCUACCCGCGGCAAGACGGAAAGACCCCGUGGACCUUUACUACAGCUUGACACUGCUAUUUGGAUAAGAAUGUGCAGGAUAGGUGGGAGGCUUUGAGUAAUAGACGCCAGUUUAUUAUGAGCCAUUGUUGAGAUACCACUCUUUCUUAUUUGGGUAGCUAACCAGCUUGAGUUAUCCUCAAGUGGGACAAUGUCUGGUGGGUAGUUUGACUGGGGCGGUCGCCUCCCAAAUAAUAACGGAGGCUUACAAAGGUUGGCUCAGAACGGUUGGAAAUCGUUCGUAGAGUAUAAAGGUAUAAGCCAGCUUAACUGCAAGACAUACAAGUCAAGCAGAGACGAAAGUCGGUCUUAGUGAUCCGGUGGUUCUGUGUGGAAGGGCCAUCGCUCAAAGGAUAAAAGGUACCCCGGGGAUAACAGGCUGAUCUCCCCCAAGAGCUCACAUCGACGGGGAGGUUUGGCACCUCGAUGUCGGCUCAUCGCAUCCUGGGGCUGGAGCAGGUCCCAAGGGUAUGGCUGUUCGCCAUUUAAAGCGGUACGCGAGCUGGGUUCAGAACGUCGUGAGACAGUUCGGUCCCUAUCUGCCGUGGGCGUAAGAAGAUUGAAGAGAUUUGACCCUAGUACGAGAGGACCGGGUUGAACAAACCACUGGUGUAGCUGUUGUUCUGCCAAGAGCAUCGCAGCGUAGCUAAGUUUGGAACGGAUAAACGCUGAAAGCAUCUAAGCGUGAAGCCAACUCUAAGAUGAAUCUUCUCUAAGCUCUCUAGAAGACUACUAGUUUGAUAGGCUGGGUGUGUAAUGGAUGAAAGUCCUUUAGCUGACCAGUACUAAUAGAGCGUUUGGCUUAUCUUUUUUAUAAGCAU
Molecule: ribosomal RNA, 1466 nt
Filed under: Campylobacter lari
Lineage: Bacteria; Pseudomonadati; Campylobacterota; Epsilonproteobacteria; Campylobacterales; Campylobacteraceae
Description: partial 23S ribosomal RNA
Rfam family: Bacterial large subunit ribosomal RNA
Source: RNAcentral